Molecule: ribosomal RNA, 737 nt
Filed under: Klebsiella pneumoniae
Lineage: Bacteria; Pseudomonadati; Pseudomonadota; Gammaproteobacteria; Enterobacterales; Enterobacteriaceae
Description: partial 23S ribosomal RNA
Rfam family: Bacterial large subunit ribosomal RNA
Source: RNAcentral
GGUUAAGCGACUAAGCGUACACGGUGGAUGCCCUGGCAGUCAGAGGCGAUGAAGGACGUGCUAAUCUGCGAAAAGCGUCGGUAAGGUGAUAUGAACCGUUAUAGCCGGCGAUGUCCGAAUGGGGAAACCCAGUGCAAUUCGUUGCACUAUCGUUAACUGAAUACAUAGGUUAACGAGGCGAACCGGGGGAACUGAAACAUCUAAGUACCCCGAGGAAAAGAAAUCAACCGAGAUUCCCCCAGUAGCGGCGAGCGAACGGGGAGCAGCCCAGAGUCUGAAUCAGCUUGUGUGUUAGUGGAACGGUCUGGAAAGUCCGACGGUACAGGGUGAUAGUCCCGUACACCAAAAUGCACAGGCUGUGAACUCGAAGAGUAGGGCGGGACACGUGGUAUCCUGUCUGAAUAUGGGGGGACCAUCCUCCAAGGCUAAAUACUCCUGACUGACCGAUAGUGAACCAGUACCGUGAGGGAAAGGCGAAAAGAACCCCGGCGAGGGGAGUGAAAAAGAACCUGAAACCGUGUACGUACAAGCAGUGGGAGCACCUUCGGGUGUGACUGCGUACCUUUUGUAUAAUGGGUCAGCGACUUAUAUUCUGUAGCAAGGUUAACCGUAUAGGGGAGCCGCAGGGAAACCGAGUCUUAACUGGGCGUUAAGUUGCAGGGUAUAGACCCGAAACCCGGUGAUCUAGCCAUGGGCAGGUUGAAGGUUGGGUAACACUAACUGGAGGACCGAACCGA